RNAcentral lists this ribosomal RNA (274 nucleotides) under uncultured bacterium. RNAcentral's name for it is "partial 16S ribosomal RNA". It matches the Rfam family "Bacterial small subunit ribosomal RNA", at positions 793 to 1055 of the family's 1533-position model. The record is from RNAcentral.
GUCCACGCCGUAAACGAUGCAUACUAGGUUCGGGUGUCUCUGACGGCUUCCGAGCCGAAACAAAGCGAUAAGUAUGCCGCCUGGGGAGUACGGCCGCAAAGGCUAAAAACUCAAAGGAAUUGACGGGGGCUCACACAAGCGGUGGAGCAUGUGGCUUAAUUCGAAGCAACGCGAAGAACCUUACCCAGGUUUGACAUGCAUGGAUGUCUUGGCGGGAUAACCGUCAAGAUUACCCGCAAGGGUGAAACAUGCACAGGUGUUGCAUGGCUGUCGU